RNA transcript from Mus pahari (shrew mouse), 811 nucleotides. It is a transcript of the gene named synaptobrevin homolog YKT6 pseudogene, with no coding region annotated. Lineage: Eukaryota; Metazoa; Chordata; Mammalia; Rodentia; Muridae. The record is from RefSeq and is a predicted model, not a curated record. The transcript has a single exon.
AUGAAGCCGUACAGCCUCAGUGUCCUUUACAAAGGCGAUCCAAAAGCGGUGCUGCUCAAGGCCUCAUACGACAUGUCUUCCUUUAGUUUCUUCCAGAGGGCCAGUGUUCAGGAAUUCAUUACCUUUACAAGUCAACUGAUUGUGGAACGCUCGGGGAAAGGCAGCAGAGCUUGUAUCAAAGAACAAGAGUAUCUUUGCCAUGUCUAUGUCUGGAGUGACAGUCUGGCAGGUGUGGUCAUUGCUGACAGUGAAUACCCUUCCAGAGUGGCCUUUACCUUGCUGGAGAAGGUAUUAGAUGAAUUCUCCAAGCAGGUCAAUAGAAUAGACUGGCCAGUAGGAUCCCCUGCUACAAUCCAGUACACAGCCCUGGAUGAGCACCAGAAUCGCCGGGAAGCUGAUCCCAUGAGUAAAGUAUAGGCUGAACUGGACGAGACCAAAAUCAUUCUGCAUAACACCAUGGAGUCUUUGUUAGAGCGAGGCGAGAAGCUUGAUGACCUGGUAUCCAAGUCAGAAGUGCUGGGAACACAGUCGAAAGCCUUCUAUAAAACUGCCCGGAAACAAAACUCUUGCUGUGCAAUCAUGUGACGUAGCCCACGGAGGCAGGCCCUGGAUCCUCAUGUCACAUCAGCCCCUGGAGACAAGCAGUGUCUAGAAGAGGAUCUGGAGCCAGGCAGACUGGCUGCUUUUAUUUUGAAGUUCCCAAGAGGAAUGGAGGGAUGAUUUAAGGGUGGGAACAUUGACGUUCGUAUGUGUAGUUGUGACUUUGGGAAGGAAUUUGAGGUCCUCCAAGAUAUAAUGUUGGGAAAAUGAA